UGGACCUUCACUUCUUCGUGUUUAGGUUGUAAAUUGUAAAUGUCAAUCUAAUAUCUAAAAAAAUAAUUUACCUCAAUCAGCUGUGAUUUGUUAUUAUGUAACUAAUUUUUCUAAACACUAUUCAUAUCGAGUAAAAAACUUUUCUAAUACCUACCAGUCUGUUAUAACUGGACAUAAAUAAAGCUGUUUAUCUACACUUUCGGGGAUUUAUUUUUUGGGAAAACUUGUUGAAAUCUCAUUGAACUCCGUAUCUCUGAAGUAAUAAUGAAAUAUGAUUACAAACAUAACCGAAACCUUUGUGUUUAUUUAAUAAAAAUAACAAUAAAAACAAAUUAGUUUUAUGUUGUAUAAAGUCUUAUUUAGUAUUGAAGCUUCUCUUACUGCUAUUAUUGGUAAAAAAUAUAUAUGAAAUAGAGAAGGUAUUCGGUAUAAAUAUAUUCAUAAAAAACAACUAUAUACAACAUUUAUAUGAGAAAGAUUAAAUAAAGAAAAUGAUGAACUAA
This is a long non-coding RNA of Melitaea cinxia (Glanville fritillary), 503 nucleotides long. RefSeq lists it as uncharacterized. NCBI's taxonomy places the organism in Eukaryota, Metazoa, Arthropoda, Insecta, Lepidoptera, Nymphalidae. The record is from RefSeq and is a predicted model, not a curated record. The transcript has 2 exons.